GUGCCAGCAGCCGCGGUAAGACGAACCGUGCGAACGUUAUUCGGAAUCAUUGGGCUUAAAGGGCGCGUAGGCGGCGGCGUAAGUUGGAAGUGAAAUCCCAUCGGCUCAACCGUGGAAUUGCUCCCAGUACUGCGUCGCUCGAGGGGGAUAGGGGUCUGCGGAACUACCGGUGGAGCGGUGAAAUGUGUUGAUAUCGGUGGGAACGCCAGUGGCGAAAGCGGCAGACUGGACCCUUCCUGACGCUGAUGCGCGAAAGCUAGGGGAGCAAACGGGAUUAGAUACCCCGGUAGUCCUAGCCUUAAACGUUGGGUACUGAGUAGAAAGGGGACCGAUACCCCCUUCUGCUGGAGCGAAAGUGUUAAGUACCCCGCCUGGGGAGUAUGGUCGCAAGGCUGAA
This 397-nucleotide ribosomal RNA is filed under the name uncultured bacterium. RNAcentral's name for it is "bacterial SSU rRNA". It matches the Rfam family "Bacterial small subunit ribosomal RNA", at positions 505 to 898 of the family's 1533-position model. The record is from RNAcentral.